This 279-nucleotide ribosomal RNA is filed under the name Megamonas funiformis YIT 11815. RNAcentral's name for it is "partial 16S ribosomal RNA". It matches the Rfam family "Bacterial small subunit ribosomal RNA", at positions 497 to 776 of the family's 1533-position model. The record is from RNAcentral. Lineage: Bacteria; Bacillati; Bacillota; Negativicutes; Selenomonadales; Selenomonadaceae.
UAUGGUGUGUGCCCGCCGCCGCGGUAAUACGUAGGCGGCAAGCGUUGUCCGGAAUUAUUGGGCGUAAAGGGAGCGCAGGCGGGAAACUAAGCGGAUCUUAAAAGUGCGGGGCUCAACCCCGUGAUGGGGUCCGAACUGGUUUUCUUGAGUGCAGGAGAGGAAAGCGGAAUUCCCAGUGUAGCGGUGAAAUGCGUAGAUAUUGGGAAGAACACCAGUGGCGAAGGCGGCUUUCUGGACUGUAACUGACGCUGAGGCUCGAAAGCUAGGGUAGCGAACGGG